Molecule: RNA transcript, 574 nt
Organism: Galeopterus variegatus (Sunda flying lemur)
Lineage: Eukaryota; Metazoa; Chordata; Mammalia; Dermoptera; Cynocephalidae
Gene name: gonadotropin-releasing hormone receptor pseudogene
Exons: 1
Source: RefSeq, a predicted model, not a curated record
AACACAAGUCUCUACGCUCUAACAUUGGGGAAAUAUGGCAAACAGUGCCUCUCUUGAACAGAAUCAAAAUCACUGUUCAUCAGUCAACAACAGUAUGCCCCUGAUGCAGGGCAACCUCCCCACCCUGACCUUAUCUGGAAAGAUUCGAGUGACGGUAACGUUCUUCCUUUUUCUACUGUCCACAACCUUUAAUGCUUCUUUCUUGUUGAAACUUCAGAAGUGGACCCAGAAGAAAGAGAAAGGGAAAAAGCUCUCAAGAAUGAAGUUGCUUUUAAAACACCUGACUUUAGCCAACCUGUUGGAGACGCUGAUUGUCAUGCCACUAGAUGGAAUGUGGAACAUUACAGUACAAUGGUAUGCUGGAGAGUUCCUCUGCAAAUUUCUCAGCUAUCUGAAGCUUUUUUCCAUGUACGCCCCAGCCUUCAUGAUGGUGGUAAUCAGCCUGGACCGCUCCCUGGCCAUUACAAGGCCCCUAGACGUAAAAAGGAACAGCAAACUCGGACAGUCCAUGAUUUGCCUGGCCUGGAUCCUUAGUAGCAUCUUUGCUGGACCACAGGUAAAUCAUUAUUCAUGA